GAUCUGAUGGUGUAGUUGGUGACACGCUUGCUCAAAUUUAGCUUCUAGAUAACAUAACUGCGCAAGAGUUCCCGGUUCGAAUCCGGGUCAGGUCA
Non-coding RNA from Mycena alexandri, 95 nucleotides. The record is from the annotation of a GenBank genome assembly. NCBI's taxonomy places the organism in Eukaryota, Fungi, Basidiomycota, Agaricomycetes, Agaricales, Mycenaceae.